RNAcentral lists this ribosomal RNA (253 nucleotides) under uncultured bacterium. Its description in RNAcentral is "partial 16S ribosomal RNA". It matches the Rfam family "Bacterial small subunit ribosomal RNA", at positions 524 to 776 of the family's 1533-position model. The record is from RNAcentral.
UACGUAGGGUGCAAGCGUUGUCCGGAAUUAUUGGGCGUAAAGCGCUCGUAGGCGGUCUGUCGCGUCUGCUGUGAAAACUCGGGGCUUAACCCCGAGCCUGCUUCCGAUACGGGCAGACUAGAGGUAUGCAGGGGAGAAUGGAAUUCCUGGUGUAGCGGUGAAAUGCGCAGAUAUCAGGAGGAACACCGGUGGCGAAGGCGGUUCUCUGGGCAUUACCUGACGCUGAGGAGCGAAAGUGUGGGGAGCGAACAGG